GCCCAGACCACCAGCUAAGGUCCCAAAAUAUAUGUUAAGUGGAAAAGGAUGUGGCGUUGCCCAGACAACUAGGAUGUUGGCUUAGAAGCAGCCAUCAUUUAAAGAGUGCGUAAUAGCUCACUAGUCGAGUGACACUGCGCCGAAAAUGUACCGGGGCUAAACAUAUUACCGAAGCUGUGGAUUGUCCUUUGGACAAUGGUAGGAGAGCGUUCUAAGGGCGUUGAAGCAUGAUCGUAAGAACAUGUGGAGCGCUUAGAAGUGAGAAUGCCGGUGUGAGUAGCGAAAGACGGGUGAGAAUCCCGUCCACCGAUUGACUAAGGUUUCCAGAGGAAGGCUCGUCCGCUCUGGGUUAGUCGGGUCCUAAGCUGAGGCCGACAGGCGUAGGCGAUGGAUAACAGGUUGAUAUUCCUGUACCACCUAUAAUCGUUUUAAUCGAUGGGGGGACGCAGUAGGAUAGGCGAAGCGUGCGAUUGGAUU
RNAcentral lists this ribosomal RNA (477 nucleotides) under Staphylococcus aureus. RNAcentral describes it as "partial 23S ribosomal RNA". It matches the Rfam family "Bacterial large subunit ribosomal RNA", at positions 1025 to 1504 of the family's 2925-position model. The record is from RNAcentral. Lineage: Bacteria; Bacillati; Bacillota; Bacilli; Caryophanales; Staphylococcaceae.